UACAGAGGGGGCAAGCGUUAUUCGGAAUUAUUGGGCGUAAAGCGGGUGUAGGUGGCUCUAUAAGUCAGGAGUGAAAUCCCCAAGCUUAACUUGGGAAGUGCUUUUGAUACUGCAGAGCUUGAAUGUGGGAGAGGAUAAUAGAAUUCCAGGUGUAGUGGUGAAAUACGUAGAUAUCUGGAGGAAUACCGGUGGCGAAGGCGGUCACCUGGACGGAUACUGACGCUGAGACGCGAAAGCGUGGGGAGCAAACAGG
RNAcentral lists this ribosomal RNA (253 nucleotides) under uncultured bacterium. Its description in RNAcentral is "partial 16S ribosomal RNA". It matches the Rfam family "Bacterial small subunit ribosomal RNA", at positions 524 to 776 of the family's 1533-position model. The record is from RNAcentral.